GUUAAUGUUAGUGGAUUACUCAGGAACAGGUUAAUGUUAGUGGAUUACUCAGGAACAGGUUAAUGUUAGUGGAUUACUCAGGAACAGGUUAAUGUUAAUGUUAGUUACUCAGGAACAGGUUAAUGUUAAAGUGGAUUACUCAGGAACAGGUUAAUGUUAGUGGAUUACUCAGGAACAGGUUAAUGUUAAAGUGGAUUACUCAGGAACAGGUUAAUGUUAGUAUUUCUCAGGAACAGGUUAAUGUUAGUAUUUCUCAGGAACAGGUUAAUGUUAGUAUUACUCAGGAACAGGUUAAUGUUAGUGGAUUACUCAGGAACAGGUUAAUGUUAAAGUGGAUUACUCAGGAACAGGUUAAUGUUAGUGGAUUACUCAGGAACAGGUUAAUGUUAGUGGAUUACUCAGGAACAGGUUAAUGU
Molecule: long non-coding RNA, 416 nt
Organism: Oncorhynchus tshawytscha (Chinook salmon)
Lineage: Eukaryota; Metazoa; Chordata; Actinopteri; Salmoniformes; Salmonidae
Source: Ensembl